RNAcentral lists this transfer RNA (76 nucleotides) under Alphaproteobacteria bacterium. Its description in RNAcentral is "tRNA-Val". It matches the Rfam family "tRNA". Rfam says of the family: Transfer RNA (tRNA) molecules are approximately 80 nucleotides in length. Their secondary structure includes four short double-helical elements and three loops (D, anti-codon, and T loops). Further hydrogen bonds mediate the characteristic L-shaped molecular structure. tRNAs have two regions of fundamental functional importance: the anti-codon, which is responsible for specific mRNA codon recognition, and the 3' end, to which the tRNAs corresponding amino acid is attached (by aminoacyl-tRNA synthetases). tRNAs cope with the degeneracy of the genetic code in two manners: having more than one tRNA (with a specific anti-codon) for a particular amino acid; and 'wobble' base-pairing, i.e. permitting non-standard base-pairing at the 3rd anti-codon position. Lineage: Bacteria; Pseudomonadati; Pseudomonadota; Alphaproteobacteria. The record is from RNAcentral.
GGGCGGUUAGCUCAGUUGGUAGAGCGUCUCGUUUACACCGAGAGGGUCGGCGGUUCGAGUCCGUCAUCGCCCACCA